Molecule: transfer RNA, 73 nt
Filed under: Termitinemataceae bacterium
Lineage: Bacteria; Pseudomonadati; Spirochaetota; Spirochaetia; Spirochaetales; Termitinemataceae
Description: tRNA-Met
Rfam family: tRNA
About the family: Transfer RNA (tRNA) molecules are approximately 80 nucleotides in length. Their secondary structure includes four short double-helical elements and three loops (D, anti-codon, and T loops). Further hydrogen bonds mediate the characteristic L-shaped molecular structure. tRNAs have two regions of fundamental functional importance: the anti-codon, which is responsible for specific mRNA codon recognition, and the 3' end, to which the tRNAs corresponding amino acid is attached (by aminoacyl-tRNA synthetases). tRNAs cope with the degeneracy of the genetic code in two manners: having more than one tRNA (with a specific anti-codon) for a particular amino acid; and 'wobble' base-pairing, i.e. permitting non-standard base-pairing at the 3rd anti-codon position.
Source: RNAcentral
GGCGGCGUAACUCAGUUGGUAGAGUACGAGAUUCAUAUCCUCGCUGUCAUUGGUUCAAUCCCAAUCGCCGCUA